GACGAACGCUGGCGGCGUGCUUAACACAUGCAAGUCGAACGGAAAGGCCCUGCUUUUGUGGGGUGCUCGAGUGGCGAACGGGUGAGUAACACGUGAGUAACCUGCCCUUGACUUUGGGAUAACUUCAGGAAACUGGGGCUAAUACCGGAUAGGAGCUCCUGCUGCAUGGUGGGGGUUGGAAAGUUUCGGCGGUUGGGGCUGGACUCGCGGCUUAUCAGCUUGUUGGUGGGGUAGUGGCUUACCAAGGCUUUGACGGGUAGCCGGCCUGAGAGGGUGAACGGCCACAUUGGGACUGAGAUACGGACCAGACUCCUACGGGAGGCAGCAGUGGGGAAUAUUGCACAAUGGGCGGAAGCCUGAUGCAGCAACGCCGCGUGCGGGAUGACGGCCUUCGGGUUGUAAACCGCUUUCGCCUGUGACGAAGCGUGAGUGACGGUAAUGGGUAAAGAAGCACCGGCUAACUACGUG
Molecule: ribosomal RNA, 468 nt
Filed under: uncultured bacterium
Lineage: Bacteria
Description: partial 16S ribosomal RNA
Rfam family: Bacterial small subunit ribosomal RNA
Source: RNAcentral